Molecule: ribosomal RNA, 253 nt
Filed under: uncultured bacterium
Lineage: Bacteria
Description: partial 16S ribosomal RNA
Rfam family: Bacterial small subunit ribosomal RNA
Source: RNAcentral
UACGGGGGGGGCAAGCGUUGUUCGGAAUUACUGGGCGUAAAGGGCUCGUAGGCGGCCAACUAAGUCAGACGUGAAAUCCCUCGGCUUAACCGGGGAACUGCGUCUGAUACUGGAUGGCUUGAGUUCGGGAGAGGGAUGCGGAAUUCCAGGUGUAGCGGUGAAAUGCGUAGAGAUCGGGAGGAACACCAGAGGCGAAGGCGGCGACCUGGACAAGUACUGACACUCAACUACGAAAGCGUGGGGAGCAAACAGG